RNAcentral lists this ribosomal RNA (1282 nucleotides) under Bacteroidaceae bacterium SV439. RNAcentral describes it as "partial 16S ribosomal RNA". It matches the Rfam family "Bacterial small subunit ribosomal RNA", at positions 100 to 1381 of the family's 1533-position model. Lineage: Bacteria; Pseudomonadati; Bacteroidota; Bacteroidia; Bacteroidales; Bacteroidaceae. The record is from RNAcentral.
GCACCGGUGAGUAACACGUAACCAACCUACCUUACACACGGAAAUAGCUCUUCGAAAGAAGGAUUAAAACCCGAUAUAAUAUAUUUGUGACCUGACUAAUAUAUGAGAGAGUUAUCGGUGUUAGAUGGGGAUGCGUUCCAUUAGACAGUAGGUGAGGUAACGGCUCACCAAAUCUACGAUGGAUAGGGGUUCUGAGAGGAAGACCCCCCACAUUGGGACUGAGACACGGCCCAAACUCGGAUCGGGAGGCAGCAGUGAGGAAUAUAGGUCAAUGGACGAGAGUCUGAACCAGCCAAGUAGCGUUUAGGAUGACUGCCCUAUGGGUUGUAAACUUCUUUUAUAGGGGAAUAAAAUGCACCACGCGCUGGUGUUUUGUAUGUACCCUAACGAAUAAGGAUCGGCUAACUCCGUGCCAGCAGCCGCGGUAAUACGGAGGAUCCGAGCGUUAUCCGGAUUUAUUGGGUUUAAAAAGGAUGCGCAGGCGGACUGAUAAGUCAGCUGUGAAAGUUUACGGCUCAACCGUGAAAUUGCAGUUGAAACUGUCAGUCUUGAGUACACAUUAAUUUACCGAAAUUUUUGGUUUACCGUUCAAAUUCUUAUAUAUCACAAGAAACUCCAAUUGCGAAGACACCUCACUGGGGUUUAACUGACGCUCAUCCACGAAGGUGUGGUUAUCAAACAGGAUUAGAUACCCUGUUAGUCCACACAGUAAACGAUGAAUACUCCCUGUUUGCCAUAUACAGUAAGCGGCCAAGCGAAAGCAUUAAGUAUUCCACCUGGGGAUUACGCCGGCAACGGUGAAACUCAAAGGAAUUGACGGGGGCCGCACAAGCGGAGGAACAUGUGGUUUAAUUCGAUGAUACGCGAGGAACCUUACCUGGGCUUAAAUUGCAACUGACAGGACCCGAAACGGUCCCUUCUUCGGACAGUUGUGAAGGUGCUGCAUGGUUGUCGUCAGCUCGUGCCGUGAGGUGUCGGCUUAAGUGCCAUAACGAGCGCAACCCCUAUUGCUAGUUACUAACAGGUUAUGCUGAGGACUCUAGCGAGACUGCCGUCGUAAGAUGAGAGGAAGGUGGGGAUGACGUCAAAUCAGCACGGCCCUUACGUCCAGGGCGACACACGUGUUACAAUGGGUAAGACAGAGGGCAGCUACCUGGUGACAGGAUGCUAAUCCCAUAAACUUACUCUCAGUUCGGAUCGAAGUCUGCAACUCGACUUCGUGAAGCUGGAUUCGCUAGUAAUCGCGCAUCAGCCAUGGCGCGGUGAAUACGUUCCCGGGCCU